This 255-nucleotide ribosomal RNA is filed under the name uncultured bacterium. RNAcentral's name for it is "partial 16S ribosomal RNA". It matches the Rfam family "Bacterial small subunit ribosomal RNA", at positions 524 to 777 of the family's 1533-position model. The record is from RNAcentral.
UACGAAGGGGGCGAGCGUUGUUCGGAAUUACUGGGCGUAAAGGGCGCGCAGGCGGCUCUGGAAGUCAGAUGUGAAAGCCCCGGGCUUAACCUGGGAAUUGCAUUUGAUACUCUGGAGCUUGAGUGUGGGAGAGGAGAGUGGAAUUCCCAGUGUAGAGGUGAAAUUCGUAGAUAUUGGGAAGAACACCGGUGGCGAAGGCGGCUCUCUGGACCACAACUGACGCUGAGGCGCGAAAGCGGUGGGGAGCAAACAGGG